Molecule: long non-coding RNA, 417 nt
Organism: Epinephelus moara (kelp grouper)
Lineage: Eukaryota; Metazoa; Chordata; Actinopteri; Perciformes; Serranidae
Exons: 3
Source: RefSeq, a predicted model, not a curated record
CUUGCCACAGUUUAUUUACACAUACUGCCCACACUGUUGUGAGACAAAGCUGGUGAAUGACGGCAGAGUAUCCCGGGAUAAGUGAAAGGUGUUGACUGAGAGGACUAUACAAGAUGGCGGAUGAUGGACAGGAUCAUGGCAUGAUGCUCAAUGUAUUGUUCACGUCCCACCUUCAUAUUACCACUGACAGCCCAGGGGUCAUGUGAGGAUCUGUGGACAGGAGUGAAAGAGAUCACACUGGAACAAAGAUCAUUCUGACAACCCUUGAAUGCAGCACAAGGCUGGUGACUGGGACGUCUGCUACCAAGGAACAACAGAUCUUUGACAUGAAAAGAAAAAAAUGACGCAGCAACAUGAUACUGUAUGUCACACGCAGUCCUCCACCUAUCAGGACCAGUCUCUCCUGGACAUCUGGAC